RNAcentral lists this ribosomal RNA (504 nucleotides) under uncultured bacterium. RNAcentral's name for it is "bacterial SSU rRNA". It matches the Rfam family "Bacterial small subunit ribosomal RNA", at positions 8 to 507 of the family's 1533-position model. The record is from RNAcentral.
AGAGUUUGAUCCUGGCUCAGAUUGAACGCUGGCGGCAUGCCUUACACAUGCAAGUCGAACGGUAACAGGUCUUCGGAUGCUGACGAGUGGCGAACGGGUGAGUAAUACAUCGGAACGUGCCCGAUCGUGGGGGAUAACGCAGCGAAAGCUGUGCUAAUACCGCAUACGAUCUACGGAUGAAAGCGGGGGACUCGCAAGGGCCUCGCGCGGACGGAGCGGCCGAUGGCAGAUUAGGUAGUUGGUGGGAUAAAAGCUUACCAAGCCGACGAUCUGUAGCUGGUCUGAGAGGACGACCAGCCACACUGGGACUGAGACACGGCCCAGACUCCUACGGGAGGCAGCAGUGGGGAAUUUUGGACAAUGGGCGAAAGCCUGAUCCAGCCAUGCCGCGUGAGUGAAGAAGGCCUUCGGGUUGUAAAGCUCUUUCGGUGGGGAAGAAAUUGCAUAGGUUAAUACCCUGUGUAGAUGACGGUACCUGGAGAAGAAGCACCGGCUAACUACGUG